RNAcentral lists this ribosomal RNA (1019 nucleotides) under Vibrio parahaemolyticus. RNAcentral's name for it is "partial 23S ribosomal RNA". It matches the Rfam family "Bacterial large subunit ribosomal RNA", at positions 437 to 1459 of the family's 2925-position model. Lineage: Bacteria; Pseudomonadati; Pseudomonadota; Gammaproteobacteria; Vibrionales; Vibrionaceae. The record is from RNAcentral.
UCUGAAUAUGGGGGGACCAUCCUCCAAGGCUAAAUACUACUGACUGACCGAUAGUGAACCAGUACCGUGAGGGAAAGGCGAAAAGAACCCCUGUGAGGGGAGUGAAAUAGAACCUGAAACCGUGUACGUACAAGCAGUAGGAGCAGGCUUUGUCCUGUGACUGCGUACCUUUUGUAUAAUGGGUCAGCGACUUAUAUUCAGUGGCAAGGUUAACCAUCUAGGGGAGCCGUAGGGAAACCGAGUCUUAACUGGGCGUUCAGUCUCUGGAUAUAGACCCGAAACCAGGUGAUCUAGCCAUGGGCAGGUUGAAGGUUGAGUAACAUCAACUGGAGGACCGAACCGACUAAUGUUGAAAAAUUAGCGGAUGACUUGUGGCUAGGGGUGAAAGGCCAAUCAAACCUGGAGAUAGCUGGUUCUCCCCGAAAGCUAUUUAGGUAGCGCCUCGGACGAAUACUACUGGGGGUAGAGCACUGUUAAGGCUAGGGGGUCAUCCCGACUUACCAACCCUUUGCAAACUCCGAAUACCAGUAAGUACUAUCCGGGAGACACACGGCGGGUGCUAACGUCCGUCGUGGAGAGGGAAACAACCCAGACCGCCAGCUAAGGUCCCAAAUUACUACUAAGUGGGAAACGAUGUGGGAAGGCUCAGACAGCCAGGAUGUUGGCUUAGAAGCAGCCAUCAUUUAAAGAAAGCGUAAUAGCUCACUGGUCGAGUCGGCCUGCGCGGAAGAUGUAACGGGGCUAAGUAGUAAACCGAAGCUGCGGCAAUGUGCUUUUGCACAUUGGGUAGGGGAGCGUUCUGUAAGCGGUUGAAGGUGUGUGGUAACGCAUGCUGGACGUAUCAGAAGUGCGAAUGCUGACAUGAGUAACGAUAAAGGGGGUGAAAAACCUCCUCGCCGGAAGACCAAGGGUUCCUGUCCAACGUUAAUCGGGGCAGGGUAAGUCGACCCCUAAGGCGAGGCCGAAAGGCGUAGUCGAUGGGAAACGGGUUAAUAUUCCCGUACUUCUUACAAUUGCGA